CAAUAGCGUAUAUUUAAGUUGCUGCAGUUAAAAAGCUCGUAGUUGGAUUUCGGGUGGGAAUGGCCGGUCCGCCGUUUCGGUGUGCACUUGCUACGCCCACCUUGCUGCCGGGGACGUGCUCUUGAGUUCACGCUCGGGACACGGAGUCGGCGAGGUUACUUUGAGUAAAUUAGAGUGUGCAAAGCAGGCCUACGCUCUGAAUACAUUAGCAUGGAAUAACACGAUAGGACUCUGGCCUAUCUUGUUGGUCUGUAGGACCGGAGUAAUGAUUAAGAGGGACAGUCGGGGGCAUUCGUAUUUCAUUGUCAGAGGUGAAAUUCUUGGAUUUAUGAAAGACGAACUACUGCGAAAGCAUUUGCCAAGGAUGUUUUCAUUAA
RNAcentral lists this ribosomal RNA (377 nucleotides) under uncultured eukaryote. RNAcentral describes it as "partial 18S ribosomal RNA". It matches the Rfam family "Eukaryotic small subunit ribosomal RNA", at positions 592 to 976 of the family's 1831-position model. The record is from RNAcentral.